CAGCAGCCGCGGGAAUACGUAGGCAGCAAGCGUUGUUCGGAAUUACAGGGCGUAAAGAGUGUGUAGGCGGUGCUCUAAGUUCGGUGUGAAAUCUCCUGGCUUAACUGGGAGGGUGCGCCGAAAACUGGAGUGCUCGAGCGUGGGAGAGGAAAGCGGAAUUCCUGGUGCAGCGGUGAAAUGCGUAGAUAUCAGGAGGAACACCUGUGGUGUAGACAGCUUUCUGGACCAUAGCUGACGCUGAGACACGAAAGCGUGGGUAGCAAACAGGAUUAGAUACCCCAGUAGUCCCUGUCUCUUAUAC
Molecule: ribosomal RNA, 301 nt
Filed under: uncultured bacterium
Lineage: Bacteria
Description: partial 16S ribosomal RNA
Rfam family: Bacterial small subunit ribosomal RNA
Source: RNAcentral